This 5206-nucleotide long non-coding RNA is filed under the name Podarcis lilfordi (Lilford's wall lizard). Lineage: Eukaryota; Metazoa; Chordata; Lepidosauria; Squamata; Lacertidae. The record is from RNAcentral.
UUAGAAUCUGGAAAGCUGACCAUAAGGGAAUUUUUCAGAGCUAAUAAGAGUGCUCACAUCUCUGAAACUUUUAGCUGGCUUGCAUUGAAAGUUCAUUAUAUGGCCAGUUUGUUGGAAGGGGUUACUGGUUUUGUUUUAUUCUCUUAUCCGCAUGUAUUUUGUGUUCUCAUGUUGUAUUUUUAUGUUCUGAACCACCCUGUGAUCUUCAGGUGAAGGGUGGCAUAUAAAUUUAAUUAAUGAUGAUGAUGAAACAUAAUAACAAAAUGGUACACCAUGCCAAUAUUCUGUUGGGUUUCCCAAUACACAGGUCAGUAUUGCAACUACAAAAAGGCAGGUUUUCAGCUGGUCCCUUAGCUGGUUGAUGCAUUGAUGGUAGCAGCCUUUCCUUUCUGGAGGCGGUUGCCAGGCAACAGCUCCUUCCCAGGUCCACGGAGGAAAGGGAGCAGGGCUGAGCGGGUGGAACUUAUCCAGCCCAUGUUAGAACUUCAGCACGCAGCAGCUUUAUAAUAUCCCUGCACGUGUCGAUCUGGUGCCUAUGGUUGCAUUUCAAAUUAUUUCCAUCCACCUACCUCAUGGGUGCCGCUAUGUGCAUCAUGCCUAGGUGUGUGUAUAUCUUGGGACUCUUAUAACACAGAUGGAAACACGGCUAUUUCUGUUCAAAUGUGACUUGGGGACCUUUCUUACUAUACGUCUUCAGCACUCCCUUCCCCUGUAAAUCGUUGUCCAGCCUAUUGAGACUUAGGUCGCCUGCACAAGAAAUGCACCACUCUGUUCCGUACAGCACCUAGCAUAUUGUUUUACAUGCACGUUAGACCAAAAGUAGUCUUGGCUAGCCGACCUAACCGGAAGAGUCCGCGACCAAAAGGAGGAGGAGUAUCAGGAAGAGUGGAUUAAAUUUAAUGAUUACUUAGUUAAAUAUGUUAAAUUAACUGAAAACAGCUUGCAGAUACUUACCGUAAUUGGCUUAGGAUUUUAUUUAUGUUAAGUGAUGAAUUAAUAUGUUUAAUUUCAUAAUGUGAAGAUCUAAGGAUGUUAAUGUUUAAGUUAAAUUUUAUAAGAACUGUGAUUUGGAAAACCGCUAAAAGGAUAUGCAAUGAAAUUCAACCAAAGGGAAGCAAGGAAGUCACUUAACAAUGUUAAUAAUUUUCAAUAAGGCUAUGAUUUAUGUUUGUUUGACUUAUGUGUUUGUUUGUUUGUUUGUUUGUUUAUAAUGUUGUGAAAACCAAUAAAAGAAUUUGGGGUGGGGGGAAAGUAGUCUUGGCAAUAUGCAAUUGCUGGAUUCUGUUCAGUCAUGAGUUUGCUAAGGGGAGAGAAUGAUACUGAGGAAAGACAGCCAACGGGCAUAGGGCAACUGUUGAAACUGGAUACAAGUUAAAACCCUAUUCGUUAACCUCUUUGGAUCACAUAAGCCUAACAUGGGGCUGUUGGAGUAAAAUAAGAUUCUGCCACUCUGGUCAUUUUAGAAGAUGCUGAAGGACAAGAACGUGACAAAUCGAUGAUUUGCCAGCCUUCCAGUAUUUACUCAGCUUUUUCUUCUGAAGUUACAUCUCCAAUCAAUGUCUCUUUUAUAUGCGACUAAGACAUGUUCUCUCAGGAGAGAAAAGCAAAGUGUUCCAGGUAAUUGCAUCUUAACAGCAGAAGAACAUUAUACUUAAUGUUUGUGGAUACUGGUUGAGGCAGGAGUUACCAAGUAACUGUUGCACAUAUUUUCAUAUGUGACAACAAAAGGGAAUAAUAUUUUUCAUGGAACAUCUCAACAAAGGUUAUAGGAAAUAUAGGGUAAAAAUAAAUAAGCUGUAACUAUUGGCAUUUAUAUAACACUUUGUGGGAGCAAUUCUGUGCACAAGAAUCUGGUGUAAAGCAAGCUGGUGUAAAUUAAGCUAGCAUAAAGUUACACCAGAUCCAAAUGCUAUUCAGCAGUAGAGCUGCUGUUCUGCCUAAGCCUGGCAAAGGGAAAACAAGCCUUUAAAAAUGUUGCGUGUUGGGUUGCCACCUAAACAUUAGGAAGAACUUCCUGACAGUAAGAGCUGUUCGACAGUGGAAUUUGCUGCCAAGGAGUGUGGUGGAGUCUCCUUCUUUGGAGGUCUUUAAGCAGAGGCUUGACAACCAUAUGUCAGGAGUGCUCUGAUGGUGUUUCCUGCUUGGCAGGGGGUUGGACUUGAUGGCCCUUGUGGUCUCUUCCAACUCUAUGAUUCUAUGGUCACAUGACCAAGCUGAGUGUGAAAUCAGUCAGCUGAGACAGAGAUCUACUGCAGCCUAAGCUCAUCCUCCUGGUGGAUCUUGCCUUAGGAUUGUCCUCUAUGCGUAUGAAAUGUGUUAGGAUUUUUGUCUCAUUUAGUCCCACAACAACCAUGUGAAGUACUGGUAGUUUAUGUUGGCUGUGAGAUAGUUUGAUAAUUAAACAAAAGGCACUCAUUGAAUUUUAUAACAAAAACUGCAACAGAAAAUCCUGAUUUGGAUUGUGGCCAUGGUAUAGCAGUAUAUUAUUAAUAAUAAUACCAUGGUGUAUGUAUGUGUAAGCCUUUCCCCUGUGCUGUGGCCCCUGUCCAAAUCAAUAUUGUCUGUUUCCUCCUCUGUGACUAACAUCAGUAACAGUAGCCAAUGUAGACUGGAGCCUCAGCAUAAGGGAAGGCUAUUGCCUAAAAUGAUGAUUUUGAAAGGAUUCUAUUUACUUACUAACAUUGUUAUAUAUGCCAAGUACUUCCUCUGUGUAUUUUUCAGCCACGGGCACAUUCUUACGGCUUUCUUACUGCUUGAAUACUAAGAAGUAUAUCAGAUUGCAGCACAGAGCAGAAAACUGAAUUAAAGGGUAAUGUAAUUUUAAUUUUCAUGCAUUCUGACUAAUCUGUUGCAAUUAAGGGCAUAAUUAAAAUCUAAUUAUAUAAAAUUUAUUCCUAUACUUUAAAUGCUUUAUUUUUCACUGUACCAUUUUGGAGUGCUAUAUUAGUAUUCCAAGCAUUUGUGCUUCUAAUUAUUUUCAUACAAUUACUUCGGUAAAAUGAAACCUAUGUGUUACAUUCAAACAGUUGUUCAUAUAAAAGCCUGAAGUACAUGGUGUAGUUAUACUACAUUCUAGCAGCCAUAUAUUCCAGAAGUAAUGAAGGUACAUAUAUCUAAGUAAUGACUCUUAAUUUCAGGGUUGUGGGUUCAAGCCCCAUGUAGGGCAAAAGAUUCCUACAUUGCAGAGGGUUGGACUUGAUUAUCCUUUUCUUCCCUCCCAACUCUUCAAUUCUAUGAUUCUAUACUAGGAAUUUCUAUGAUCUCUUUUAGUUUUAGCAAUGUUAGAGCCUUAGAAACUCCAAGACCAUUUACUAGUGUCAUAAAAAGGUAAAGGUAAAGGGACCCCUGGCCAUUAGCUCCAGUCUGACCGACUCUGGGGUUGUGGCGCUCAUCUCACUUUAUUGGCCGAGGGAGCCGGCAUAUAGCUUCCGGGUCAUGUGGCCAGCAUGACUAAGCCACUUCUGGCGAACCAGAGCAGCGUACAGAAAUGCUGUUUACCUUCCCGCCGGAGCGGCACCUAUUUAUCUACUUGCACUUUGACGUGCUUUCGAACUGCUAGGUGGGCAGGAGCAGGGACUGAGCAACGGGAGCUCGCCCCAUUGUGGGGAUUCGAACCGCCGAACUUCUGAUUGGCAAGUCCUAGGCUCUGUGAUUUAACCCACAGUGCCACCCGCGUUUGCUGUAAUUUAGCAAUGUCAAUGCAGGCAGUGGGAUCUGCCCUAUAUCUUCUGCUGUGAAGACAGAUGCAAAUCAUUCAUUUAGAUUCUCUGCAAUCUCUUUAUCAUCUUUUAGCACAGCUUUCACUCUCUUGCCAUCCCAUGGAAUGCAAAGUACCAGCCUCCAGCUGCUCCAGCCUCUUCAUUUCCUUGGCAUUUUUUAAAGGAACUGUAAGGGUGGGCGCAGUUGAAAGGGCACACACUAGGCAGGUGCCAAACUGGUUUCAGGGGCAUAUCUAACAUGUAGGCUUUGUCUGAUGUAUGCUCAUGGCUUCAUCUCUCUCAACUGCUACAUAUAGCAGUUAUUUUCUAUUGCUAUUUUAUUCCCCUCUGACCACCUAUAAUUAAUUUCUUUUCAUUUGCUUUGUGUUAGCCCUCUCUUCUCAAAGCCGUGUUCUCAUUUAUUGAUUUUGCGGGCCUAUUAUAUUUAUAAAGAAAGACUACACAAUGUAAAAGUGACAACAUUAAGAUUAGGGUGGUUUUUUUUAAUACCUACCUAUGUAUCUUGAACAUGCAGUGGGUUAUCAAGAUAGAAGUGUAAUUGUACAUUUUUCUUCUUUGCCAGCCAUCCUUCCAAAUUAGCUGACUUAAAAGUAAACUAUAUGCUGUAAUUUGCUGGGAAGGAAAUGAAAUGGGUAGUCUGACUUUUGUUCCAUUUAGUUUUGAUUAAGCAUGGCAAUGUAGUCCCAGGUGAUUGAAAAAUAAUUAUCCAAUUUCUGGCUGCACGCUCAGAGCAAUACUCAGGUUUUCAGUGUUCAUACUGGCAAUUUAGUUGCCAAAGGAUUUUGCCGUUUAUGAUUUAAUUAAAGAUCUCUAAGCUGUACUCUGUUCUCAUUUAUAUUGGUACAAAACAUCUGGGCAGUGGAGUUCUCAGUGCAUAAAGCAGCAUCAGUAAAAGUGAACUAAAGCAAAAAUUCAGAGAACUUAAAGCAGUAUGUUUUGAAUUAUGGGGGCUGCAUGAUCUUGCGCUGCAGCAAAGAUGGCCUCCACUGUGCCGCUGCUUGUACCCGUGCAAGCUAGCUAGUACUUUGACAGCUCACCAGCCUAAGUCUGGGCUAUAAAACAAUUUGCAUUCAUGUUGCUACCCUUAACAGCAACAGUUAACAGACAGGUAAAGGCACUGAGCAGUUCUCAGGAUGCUGAUGACUUUUUUGAAGUAUGGCAUCCAUUUCUAACUUUCUCAAAUGAAAACAAUAUGGUCUGGCAUCCACCACAUACACAUGGCUGGCUAUUGAACAAUGCACUCCAUUGUUGAAACCAUCUUGUCCUACUUGAGUGUGUGCAAUUUGUUACUGUGUUGGAGGGAUUUAAUUUUGUAGCAUGUAUUUACUGAAACAUCUUUAAAACUAACACCCACCUACAGAUUGGUGGAUUGGGCUGGUCUCAAGUAACAUACUCCGGAGUUCACUUCUGAACCAAAUUCCAUUUUGGAGGAUGAGUAGUAGCCUAUCACAGGAUGUAUCUGUGUGUAGUAAAUGCUUUUUAAAGAU